GUACGGGAGGCAGCAGUGGGGAAUCUUGGACAAUGGGGGAAACCCUGAUCCAGCAAUGCCGCGUGGGUGAAGAAGGCCUUCGGGUUGUAAAGCCCUUUCGAUUGGGAAGAAAAGCUUGGCGCUAAUCAGCCAAGUCUUGACGUUACCAAGUGAAGAAGCACCGGCUAACUCUGUGCCAGCAGCCGCGGUAAUACAGAGGGUGCAAGCGUUAAUCGGAGUUACUGGGCGUAAAGGGCGCGUAGGCGGUUCGAUAAGUCGGGUGUGAAAGCCCCGGGCUUAACCUGGGAAUUGCAUUCGAGACUGUCGAGCUAGAGUAUGAUAGAGGAAAGCGGAAUUCCACAUGUAGCGGUGAAAUGCGUAGAUAUGUGGAGGAACAUCAGUGGCGAAGGCGGCUUUCUGGAUUAAUACUGACGCUGAGGCGCGAAAGCGUGGGGAGCAAACAGGAUUAGAUACCCUGGU
RNAcentral lists this ribosomal RNA (459 nucleotides) under uncultured bacterium. Its description in RNAcentral is "bacterial SSU rRNA". It matches the Rfam family "Bacterial small subunit ribosomal RNA", at positions 339 to 791 of the family's 1533-position model. The record is from RNAcentral.